This 1023-nucleotide long non-coding RNA is filed under the name Nicotiana benthamiana. Its description in RNAcentral is "long non-coding RNA (NBEN_LNC014984)". The record is from RNAcentral. Lineage: Eukaryota; Viridiplantae; Streptophyta; Magnoliopsida; Solanales; Solanaceae.
UUGGACCAAAAAUGCCCUCUAAAUGGUUACUCGUACCAUUGAAGCUGACAUGAAAGUCCAAUUAGGUUAGAUUUGCUUACAUGGCCAUACCCCAAAGCAAUCCAGCAUGGUAAAACUAAUUUUUCGAAAAAAGAAGUUGGGAAUUUUUUGUAUUAGGAAAAAUUAUUCUUGAUUGGACUUUAUGAUUUGAUUAAAAAACUACAUUGUUAUCUUUUGUGAAUUUAUGAUUAUUUUGAUCUUAAUUUUUAGAUACAUAUUCGAAUAAGCUCAAAAAUAACAUUACCAAAUGUGAUUAAUCUAAUUAAUGAGUUAUUAAUACUGACGAAUCAAUCAUAACCAGAAAACAAACUUUUAGACAUCAAUUUGUCAUCACAUGAGCAGUUAUGAAUAUAUGACGAGAGGUAUAUUGAAUAAAUUGCCAAAAGCAUCGAGAACUCGGAGAAAAGCAAUAACGAAUCGAUUCGAACUCCGGCGAACGAGAAACUCAUCGAAUGGUGUGAAUGGUAACAUGAACACUGGCCGAACAUUCUUCCAUAGCUAUUGAUUCAUGUCACCAUCCUCAACGUAUGCCAACAAAUAGACGAGGUAGGGUUUCAAAUCAUUUUGGACAAUUAAUGAUUAGUUUCCCGGAAUCUGGCCAAUCUUUGAAAUAGGCCAUCCUUAACAUUAAUCGACGUCUCACGUUGAAAAUAGAUAAUUCUAGUGGGUUUCAUCAUGAAUUGAGGGACAAGUCAAGAAAAAUUGACAAAAAGUUCAAAUUUUUAUUCUUAGAUCUCUAAUUCGGAGAAAAUGAGUGGUCUUUUGGAGAAAUCAAUGGAGGAAUAUAGGUGAGGGGGUAAUGGAGGUUGUUUGGUUGAAGUUUGAGGAAAUUUAGAGGUGGUCUACAGCUGUGAGAUGAUUUUCGGGCACAGAGGAAUGGCGGAUGUGGGUGGUAUUGAGAAAUUGUGAUUUCUGUUCUAAGUUUAAUUGGGGUGAAUUAUGAGGCCGGGGGUUGGGUGUAGUCAUUUAAUAAAGUAAAGAAGU